UACGUAGGGACCAAGCGUUGUUCGGAUUUACUGGGCGUAAAGGGCGCGUAGGCGGCAUAUUAAGUCAGCUGUGAAAUCUCCGAGCUUAACUCGGAACGGUCAGCUGAUACUGAUGUGCUAGAGUGCAGAAGGGGCAAUCGGAAUUCUUGGUGUAGCGGUGAAAUGCGUAGAUAUCAAGAGGAACACCUGAGGUGAAGACGGGUUGCUGGGCUGACACUGACGCUGAGGCGCGAAAGCCAGGGGAGCAAACGGG
RNAcentral lists this ribosomal RNA (253 nucleotides) under Stenotrophobacter namibiensis. RNAcentral describes it as "partial 16S ribosomal RNA". It matches the Rfam family "Bacterial small subunit ribosomal RNA", at positions 524 to 776 of the family's 1533-position model. RNAcentral also lists the same sequence under 2 other names. Lineage: Bacteria; Pseudomonadati; Acidobacteriota; Blastocatellia; Blastocatellales; Blastocatellaceae. The record is from RNAcentral.